GGGGAUGAAAGGAUUUCGACGGGGAAUCCGAGCCCGGAUAAGCGAGUAGCGGUGCGGAACCGCUUUAAAAGCCGCAAACUUAAAUAAUAAACGACACUAAUAAAGUUGCACUUGCUGCUUAACUAAGCAGCCGUCUCCGCCGGGAGUACUGCGGCCCGGUACGAGGCGUCGAUGAGCAGUGAACGUGAACGGAUGAUGACAGGUAAUCCGUCAUGAACAACCUGCCUACUGAAGCCCGGAGCCCGUUUACCGGCGCCGGGGAGAGGGAAUGUCAAAGGGUAAAAUACACUCGUAGAAAGUCCCUGCAGAGAUUUUUCGGACGCGGUUUCGAUUACCGCCAUCUCCACCA
RNAcentral lists this transfer-messenger RNA (349 nucleotides) under Acutalibacteraceae. Its description in RNAcentral is "CAG-177 sp017430535 Standard tmRNA". It matches the Rfam family "transfer-messenger RNA". Rfam says of the family: Bacterial tmRNA, also known as 10Sa RNA or SsrA, is named for its dual tRNA and mRNA-like properties. Its role is to liberate the mRNA from a stalled ribosome. RNAcentral also lists the same sequence under 1 other name. Lineage: Bacteria; Bacillati; Bacillota; Clostridia; Eubacteriales. The record is from RNAcentral.